GUCCGGACUGUUGUGACGUUAACUAGCGUGCUGACAGGAAAUGGCCAACUUCAUAGUGAGAAACAGAUGCUAUGGAGCCUACUUCAUCAUCAGGUUGAUCGCCAUCUACAAGACUCAGUCAAUGUGGCCAAGUUUCUUCCCAGUCCUCGUUUAAGCUGUAAGACUGAACUGUAACUUGAAAAGGCCGAGGCUUAGUUCAGUGCUGGUGGAACCCAUUUAUCCGGGGCCAGGCCCAGCCGAAAAAGCAUCGUGGGCCCACCUUCCAGUAGGUCCACCACCCGCAGGAAGGUCUACAUGGGGAUGGUGCCAUGCGAUUUGGGUGGCGGUUGUGGGCGAGGACCCCGAUGGCCCAAUAACAACUACUCUGGCUAUGGGGACAUGGAAUGUCACCAUUUAAACCCCAUACCAAAAUUAUAAACACACUUCUAAGAAAGACUGGCUGAAGAAAUCAUUACAUUUAACGUCUAUCAAACUGACAAUAUCCUAAAUGAAGUUGCACUUUAAAAUGGCCAAUGUCCCCACCAAACUCAAAGGCCUAGGCUGUGCAGAGAUGAUGGUAAAUUCACUAAACAACAAGGCCCAAGACAAAAGUCAGGCAGCAUUGAAUGUGAAAAUGUGAAAAGUCAGUUGUCCACAAGGGGAAACCACUGACAGUGUGAAAAAGGAGGGAAUUGCCCUGCUUUCAGAGAUUCUGAAGAACAACAAUAAGCAUAUAGUGAGAAUGAAAAUGGAGAAGACUUUCUCAUACAGAAGGCAAGAAGUAAUUUAAGGACCGCCGUUGAUUGCAGACUCCAAAUGCAGACAACCAGCUCUGUUCACUGAAAAAGAGGUGGACAAGGAGUUCCUGUGCAUAUCAACUGUACUGCUGCUAUCAACAUUCUUUUCUGAGCUACACCGAUACACUCCAUGCAUGAUGGAGAUUUUUACUACUCAAGGAGGGGAAAUGGAGAAAUGGAGAAAGAUCAAGGGAGCCGUCUCCAAGGUUGACUACAUAUAAUACAUGCAUCCUCAAGUCCUUGUGCAUCUACCUGAACUAAGACCAUGAGAAACUUGUGAAGGAAAAUGUGGUGAGUUACAUUCACUAGAGCACUUCGACCAACACUGAAGCCAUGAAGCAGACUGUGACGGGAGUAUUUGUCAUACAGCAUGAGGGUGCACAGCGUACAGAUGACUCUCCUGAUCGAAGGUAUGGCGGUUCUUAGUGGUUUGAGGAGCAUCGCAAUAGUUGACCUCUGUUAUUCCUACUGAUGUACUGUUUGAACCUAAGCUACCCAUUGGAGCUCAAAUGCACCUUUGAAGUGAUGCAAAAGGUUCUCAUGGAUCUGGAUAGGCAGGGGUUGUUAUCCAGGUUACCGUUCCUAAAGAACAAGUCUACAAGAUAAAUGAACUGAAAACAGAGUUGUGGAAGCCAUGUCUUUUUUAAUACCUGCAAUGCAGAGUUUUUU
This is a long non-coding RNA of Cynoglossus semilaevis (tongue sole), 1445 nucleotides long. RefSeq lists it as uncharacterized. The record is from RefSeq and is a predicted model, not a curated record. Lineage: Eukaryota; Metazoa; Chordata; Actinopteri; Pleuronectiformes; Cynoglossidae. The transcript has 5 exons.